AUCAUAACAUGGAGCUGUUAGGGGAAAUGCUAAUGGAAUUGCGUAAAAAGAUGUCUGUAUUUCUGUGUGAUGGAAGAUCUAUUUUCAGGUGUGCUAAAUGGUGAAAUAAAAUCUUUGUGCCCACAGGAAUGUGCAUUCCAUCGUUAUAGCCAGUGUUUGGUUGUGCACAUUCCACCCAGACUGCACGGCUUAGGAGGUGUCUGAUGCUGGAGAGCUCAUCCCACCAGGAGCUGGAACUGAGGAGAAUAUGUACUUGGGCACCAGGACGCCGCAGGGCUCCAACCAAGAAUCCAGCGGGUGUGAAAGAAGAGCAAUUCUGAGAUACUACAGUUUCAGGGAGAGCAAGUGCAAGAGUUGGUGCCCUGACAUAUGAAGCAAUUGCCUUCUCUCAAAUUGGGCCUCAUAGUCAAUAGGGUCAAAGAAAGGCAUGGAUCUUUGGAUAUUUCUCCAUUGGGAUACAAGCAGAAGACUGGUGCUAUAGGCAGUGGGAAGCCUAAAGUUAUUUGGAACAAAGAAUAAAGGCCAAUCUCAAAGAAGAAAAUGAAGGAAAAAGGCAGUGAGAAAACAAGUUUCACACAGCCAGGCAGUCCAUCAGGCCAUUCUGCCCUGCACCUUCCUGGGAGAGAUAUUUACAGGAAUACCCAAUGAAUUAACUUACAGAGGAAUGAUAAUCCAAUAAACCAACCC
RNAcentral lists this long non-coding RNA (687 nucleotides) under Fukomys damarensis (Damara mole-rat). Its description in RNAcentral is "lncRNA (ENSFDAG00000021813.1)". Lineage: Eukaryota; Metazoa; Chordata; Mammalia; Rodentia; Bathyergidae. The record is from RNAcentral.